AGAGCCAGAGCAGAAGAUGGGCAGAGUCUGCAUGUGGCUGCAGGACCUCUGUCAGAGAAUGAAACACUCAUCGCAUGAAUUGACAAAGAGUAAAGGAGAAUUUGCUGAAAUACUUAUUUAAAGUCUAGUACUAAGCUGUCGGGUACCAUAGUCACUAGCUACACAUUGCUACUGAGCACCUGAAACAUGGCUAUUCUGAAUUGAGAUGUGCUGUAAGUAUAAAAAAUUCUGAAUUUGAAGUCUUAGUUUAAAAAAUGUAAAAUAUAUCAUUAAUACAUUUUAUAUUAAUUGCAUGUUGAAAUGACAAUAUUUUAAAUAAAUUAUAUUAUUAAAAUUACAUUUUUUUAAUGUAGUGACUUGAAAAUUUAAAAUUACAUAUGUGGCUUGAGUUAUAUUUCUGUAGGACAGCAUUGGUCUAUUGUAUGCCAUAAUUUAGUUACUUUUACUAUAAAAAGAUUGCGAGAGAGCCGGGCGCAGUGGCUCAUGCCCGUAAUCCCAGCACUUUGGGAGGCCCAGGCCAGAUCACGAGGUUAAGAGUUCAAGAGCAGCCUGGCCAACAUGAUGAA
Molecule: long non-coding RNA, 566 nt
Filed under: Homo sapiens (human)
Lineage: Eukaryota; Metazoa; Chordata; Mammalia; Primates; Hominidae
Description: non-protein coding lnc-CDC42SE2-1:6
Source: RNAcentral